This is a long non-coding RNA of Motacilla alba alba, 763 nucleotides long. RefSeq lists it as uncharacterized. The transcript has 4 exons. The record is from RefSeq and is a predicted model, not a curated record. Lineage: Eukaryota; Metazoa; Chordata; Aves; Passeriformes; Motacillidae.
CGAGCCCAGGCUCAUUCCGCGCUGCCGCCUGAUGGGGACGGAGCGGCCGCGGCUCCGCCGCGCCGGGCACGGUGCGCGCUGCGCCCUGCGCCCGCCCGAGCCUGGGGGAGGCGCCGGGGCGGGGAGCGGCGGCCAAACCGGAGCCGCCCGGCCAGGGGCGCGCAGCCAGGAGGGAGGGAAAGGCGCUGCAGGAUGAGGAUCCAAGCCCAGAGCUGCUCUUUUCCAAGGAUUUGGGAUUUCCAAAGUGUUCCCAUCAGCUGGAGCAGAGCUCAGGACAGGGUGGAGGUAAAGUCUCAGCUGUGAGCGUGGAGGAAUUCCAGGCGUAUGGAUAAAACCAGCAGGAAUCGUGUUGGGAAUAGGACGGGAAAGGCUGGAUCCAGCUGCAGGUGUGUCCAGAGGCGGCUCCUGGGCUGAAUCUUCAGGAACUUUUCAUGGAAUUUCUGCUCCUGGUGCUGCUGAAAACAUCUGGAAAAGGACUUUUCUCCUGGAAAAAAGAAAUUACUGGGACAAGCUGGGAUUUCAAAGGAAUUUCUGGGAAUCCAGAGCUGCUUUUUCCUUUGUUUUUUUCCAGAGAAAAAUGUGGAUUCUGAUGGUUAGAGGGUGCAGAAAAUUCCUUUUUCUUUCAUUAUUGAGGGAAUUUAUUCCCAUUUCUAAGCGAAAAUUCCGUGUUUAAAGCUGCUCCUGUCAUCGUUUGCAUUCCAGGAGUUUGGGAAUUGACAAAAAUUGGGAAUUGUAAUACUGGGAAUAAAUCUGAAGGGUUGUU